UGCCAGCCGCCGCGGUAAUACGGAGGGUGCAAGCGUUGCUCGGAAUCACUGGGCGUAAAGCGCGCGUAGGUGGUUCGUUAAGUGGGGUGUGAAAGCCCUGGGCUCAACCCAGGAACUGCAUUCCAAACUGACGGACUAGAGUAUGGUAGAGGGAGGUAGAAUUUCCUGUGUAGCGGUGAAAUGCGUAGAUAUAGGAAGGAAUACCGAUGGCGAAGGCAGCCUCCUGGACCAAUACUGACACUGAGGUGCGAAAGCGUGGGGAGCAAACAGGAUUAGAUA
RNAcentral lists this ribosomal RNA (279 nucleotides) under uncultured bacterium. RNAcentral describes it as "partial 16S ribosomal RNA". It matches the Rfam family "Bacterial small subunit ribosomal RNA", at positions 506 to 784 of the family's 1533-position model. The record is from RNAcentral.